AACGAACGCUGGCGGCAUGCCUAACACAUGCAAGUCGAACGAUUGCCUUCGGGUGAUAGUGGCGCACGGGUGCGUAACGCGUGGGAAUCUGCCCUUAGGUUCGGAAUAACAGCUGGAAACGGCUGCUAAUACCGGAUGAUAUCGCGAGAUCAAAGAUUUAUCGCCUGAGGAUGAGCCCGCGUUGGAUUAGGUAGUUGGUGGGGUAAAGGCCUACCAAGCCGACGAUCCAUAGCUGGUCUGAGAGGAUGAUCAGCCACACUGGGACUGAGACACGGCCCAGACUCCUACGGGAGGCAGCAGUGGGGAAUAUUGGACGAUGGGCGCAAGCCUGAUCCAGCAAUGCCGCGUGAGUGAUGAAGGCCCUAGGGUUGUAAAGCUCUUUUACCCGGGAAGAUAAGGACUGUACCGGGAGAAUAAGCCCCGGCUAACUCCGUG
Molecule: ribosomal RNA, 435 nt
Filed under: uncultured bacterium
Lineage: Bacteria
Description: partial 16S ribosomal RNA
Rfam family: Bacterial small subunit ribosomal RNA
Source: RNAcentral